RNAcentral lists this microRNA precursor (269 nucleotides) under Marmota monax (woodchuck). The record is from RNAcentral. Lineage: Eukaryota; Metazoa; Chordata; Mammalia; Rodentia; Sciuridae.
AAAAAAAAGAUAGAGGGAGAGAGAGAGAGAGAGAGAGAGAGAUUGAUUUUUUUUUAAUAUCUAUUUUUCAGUUUUUUGGUGGACACAACAUCUUUGUAUGUGGUGCUGAGGAUCGAACCCAAGCCCCACACAUGCCAGGUGAGCACACUACCACUUGAGCCACAUCCCCAGCCCCAAGAAAUCUCCUUUUCAACAACUGAAAAGAAUGAAGACAUUUCUCUCUCUCUCUCUCUCUCUCUCUCUCUCUCCCUCCCUCCCUCCCUCCCUCC